Non-coding RNA from Acanthosepion pharaonis, 110 nucleotides. The record is from the annotation of a GenBank genome assembly. Lineage: Eukaryota; Metazoa; Mollusca; Cephalopoda; Sepiida; Sepiidae.
CUGCCAUAUCACGUUGGAACACCAAUUCCCAUGCAAUCACUGAAGUUAAGCAACAUUGAGUCUGGCCAGUACCUAGAUGGGUAACCACUUGAGAAUACCAGGUGCUGUAA